GACAGGGGUUACACUAGUUUAACCUUGGCAAACAUGUCCAGACAAGUCCUUGGUACAAGAUUAACAUACUCAGACAUGGCAGGGCAAGACUCAGGUAUAAGAUUAGCGUAGACAAAUAUGUCUUAAGUACCCACCACCCAAAAGUACAAUAGAACUUCCUUUGCAUGUCUGGAGCCUGAGGCAAGUCAGGUGAUGAGAUUUGGCUUCCCUUGGCUAACAAUGAGCCCAGCAAUUGUCACCUCUGGGAACUUCCUGGAGUCCUUUUUCAAGGGGAAAAUAGCUUUGGAAUGGAGGAAACUGGCAAAUGAGUUGAUUUUAUAUUAUUUUUAAAGUUAGGUAACUUCCCUGAGCUUACAUGCAGGGAAUAUAUUCAAGGAUACAGUCAGGCAUAAUAUUUGUAACAUUUAACUUUAAAGAUGUGCCCCCCCCCCGUAAUUUCCGUAACAGGGACACUUGGAGGGUCUGGACUCAGGGGCCACUGCCUGCUACAUUCAUUCUGGGGUUUAGCACCCUCCAUGCAGUUACACCAGGAGUUUACAGUUUUAUUUGCACUGCCCGUUAAACCACCUGUUAUCCUCAGUUCUUCUUCGUUCUUAAGCCAGAAAGAUGCACAGGCACGCACAAAAGUACAGCGGGAGCCUGCAAAGAAUGCUCGUUUCGUUUCAUUUCCCUCCCUAGAUGGGCAUCUAUCUGGGCUUUGAAAGUUUUUCCCUCUUGUGACCGCCUGCGGCAAAUAAACAAAAUUCCCAGGGAAGUGGCGGCGGCAUACGGCACUCAAACAGCCCCCUGAAUGUUAUUGUUCUCAGAGUUGUAAGGCGUUGACUACAAACAACCUCUGAAUGGCAAAGGGAGAGGGCUUGCUGAAGGCAAGGUGAUAUUCCCUCAUUAAAAUACAGUCGUAAGAAGUGUGCGUGUGUGUGUGUUCAGGAGGGUAGAAAGCUCUGCCUUAGAGCAGAUCAGAAACCACUUGGAAGUCCUUGUUUGCAAAAGCAGGGGGAAAAGGGAAACAUGUAUUGUACUUGUGCACAGAGUAACCCCCGGAGAACCGUUAAUGCUGCCGCGUGUUAAAAGGAAACUUUUGUUAACUAAGUAUGGAUCACAACAAUUGCAUUUUGGGAACAUUGUUCGAAAUGGGCCUCCCAGGUUGUGCUUGCUGAACACACAGCUGAAAGGACGACAUGGAGUUUGUGCCUUGUUAUAUCUGGUGUUUCUGAAGUAUUUCUAGAAUUUCAGGUCGCUCACAAUAUGCCAGGCCGACUUAUGCAUCAUGAAAACAAGGACACUGAUUGGCACAAUAUUUACAUAUGCUAAUAUAAAGUAAAGGUAAAGGGACCCCUGACUAUUAGGUCCAGUCGCGGCCGACUCUGGGGUUGCGGCGCUCAUCUCGCUUUAUUGGCCGAGGGAGCCGGCGUACAGCUUCCGGGUCAUGUGGCCAGCAUGACUAAGCCGCUUCUGGCGAACCAGAGCAGUGCACGGAAAUGCUGUUUACCUUCCUGCCGGAGCGGUACCUAUUUAUCUACUUGUACUUUGACGUGCUUUCGAACUGCUAGGUUGGCAGGAGCAGGGACCGAGCAACGGGAGCUCACCCCAUCGCGGGGAUUAGAACUGCUGACCUUCUGAUCGGCAAGUCCUAGGCUCUGUGGUUUAACCCACAGCGCCACCCGCGUCCCAUAUGCUAAUACAGAGACACACAAAAUUAGAAAUGAUUGCUACAAUUUAAAUAGAACUAUAUCUCAGUGUAGUUGGGAAGAAGUUGCAUGCAGAAGGUCCCAGAUUCAGUUCCCGACAUCUCCAGGCAGAGCUGGGAGAAACCCGUGUCUGAAACUCUGGAGAGCUGCUGCCAGUCAGUGCAGGCAAUCCUGAGCUACAUGGACCAAUGGUCUAAUUCAGUAUAAAGCAGCUUCCUAUGUUAUGCUGCUAUGAAAGACCGACAGGUGAGCUGUGCACCUGCUCCGUCUUCUCUCUAGGUGCGAACUGUUGAUGGGCCCCUGUCCAAAAAAGGGAGGUACGAGGAGGUCCGGGGAAAUAAGUGUAAGGAAGAUAUGCUAUGGAAAAUUAAUGUGUUUUUAACUGUUUUCAUUUUGUUUGUUUCUUUUUAUUUUUCAUUGCUUUGUUAUAUCUUAAUAAGGGUUUUUUUUAUUCUUCUUGCGGUAUUUUGUAUUUUCUUGUAUUUUUAUUUUUUGUUUUUGUGUAAUUCUUGUAUUUUUUGAAAUUUUAAUAAAUAUCAUUUAAAAAAAAAAAAGAUUAGCGUAGACAAAUAUGUCUUAAGUACCCACCACCCAAAAGUACAAUAGAACUUCCUUUGCAUGUCUGGAGCCUGAGGCAAGUCAGGUGAUGAGAUUUGGCUUCCCUGUCUGACUGAAUGGCAGAGGGGGAGCUUUUCACCUGCCACUUUCAAAUGGCUACACCCAGUCUAGGUCCAUUCCCAAGUCCAGGGUGGAAAUAUACUCGGAGUCGAGAGUGGAUUUCAUGUUCUUUAUUCAGCUCCUAGUGGUGAGGAGGAAUGGAAGUUCCCCCAGAAUGUCUGCUUUAUAUACAUUAUUUACACAAUGGGCCCCACGUAAUUGGCUAAUUCCGGGAUUCUCCUGUAGGCCAAUCAGGUUGCAGAUUCACUUCCACCUGGAGCUGGAUUGGCUGGUUCCUGUGGACCAAUCAGACUGCUGCGUUCUGAAUCCUAUUGUUCUAGGACCAAUCAGACUGCUGCGUUCUGAAUCUUAUUGUUCUAGGACCAAUCAGACUGCUGCAUUUUGAAUCCUAUUCAACUCAGUACAUAACAAGGGUCAAGAUCCAUUCGAAAGCAGCACAUCGCGCCACAACGAGAGUCAGCCCAAGCAAAGCCACAGCCUUCCAGUUGAGUUGCGCUUGGGUUUUCCUGGAUGUUGUUAGAAAUUGACAGCAGAGAGUGCAGACGCGUGUAACCCAAGCGGACGGCUGAAUCAGCAGAAUGAGCCCUCGUUGGUAAAGAUUUAUUAUACGUUAUCAGUAGCAUCCACAAUCUUUCUGUGAUUAGAGCUCCAUUGUGCGUAAUUAUCUCAUAGGAAUCUGGCUCUUUGAUGUGUGUUUCAUCUACCAGGCUGAAAUACAGUUCAAUUUGAGUGGCUUUUUCAUGGUUGGGUGGAAUUUACAUUAAUUCUUCUAGGCCUGCAGGGCUGGAUUGGACUGUCACUAGUAAGAUCAUCAUAAAUAUUCAUAUGUACAGCGUUCUUGUAAUGCUGGCAAAGAGGCAAUCAAGGAAUCCCAAUAAUGACUAGCUCUGGCGCCAUUGUGGAAACAGAAGCCUGUGUAGAACUGAUGUAAAAGGUAAAAAAAGUAAAGGAACCCUAGACGGUUAAGUCCAGUCAAAGGCGACUAUGGGGUUGUGGUGCUCAUCUUGCUUUCAGGCUGAGGGAGCCAGCGUUUGUCUGCAGGCAGCUUUCCGGGUCAUGUGGCCAGCAGGACUAAACCACUUCUGGUGCAACGGAACACAGUGACGGAAACCAGAGCACACAGAAAUGCUGUUUACCUUCCUGCCACAGUGGUACCUAUUUAUCUACUUGCACUGGUGUGCUUUCGAACUGCUAGGUAGGCAGGAGCUGAGACAGAGCAACAAGAACUCACCCCGCCAUGCGGAUUUGAACCGCCGACCUUCUGAUCAGCAAGCCCAAGAGGCUCCGUGGUUUAGACCACAGCGCCACCCGUGUCCCUUCUGUGUGGUACUGAUGUGGAAGCCUAUAGAAAUUGUGCCUCCCCACAUCCAAGAGCAACAACACCAACCACACCAUGUGACUCCAAGACAGUCCUAUGGGUGAUUCCAGUGCAUGUAGGAGAUUCCUAGCUCAUUUCCUGGCAUCUCCUGAUGGGGCUGAGAGUGUUCCCAGUUAGAAACCCUGGAAAGCUGCUGCUACCAGUCAGUGUAGGCAGUGUAGGCAAUGCUGGGCUGGAGAGACCAAUUGUCUGACUCCCCUGUUUCAAUGUGGCCUGUCCAUUUUAAAGGAGAAGCGUCUUAACCCAGCUCCGAGUCAGAGCAGAACUGAAACAAGCUACGAGCACUAUGCCUAUUAGCUCUUCAGAGACAAAUAAUCUGCCAUUGAGAGCUAACAUGGGGGAGAUCAGGCUGAGCGAGCGGAGAUGAAGAUCACUUUAAUAGCUCUUCUCAAAGCAGCAGCGAUCAGGCAGCCGCACAAGACAGAGGAGGAGGAGGAGGCCUCUGUGUAGGUAAAGGCUUUGUUAAAGGGAGGCGAGGAAGAAGCUGGAACGCUGUUGUCAAGCAGCGCCGUGCUUUAAUUUCAUGCCACAUUAUGACAAUUGGCUCUGCAAAGCACUCGAUGCGUGCGGCGGCCGAACUGGUCUAUUACAACUUGUGCCACCAUGGCCAAUGGGCCUGCGAGACUCGCGAUAAACCUGAUUAAAUAGCAAUGUGGAGGGAAGGGGGGGGUUGAUUAAUUCAAUCUAGCAGCGUCUAGAUCCAGUCUGUGGGGAGAGCUUCACCCCGCUGCUUCAGCCCUCCGAUCCUAGCUUUGCGAGAUGGGGGAAUCCUACGCUACUCUGCUUUCUCACAAAACAAAAACAAGCAUUUGUUUCGUUUUGCUUUUAUUUAUUUAAUUAUUGCAUUUACACCCUGCCUUUUCCUCAAAGGAGCUCCAGGUGGUGUACAUAGUUGUCCGUCCCCCCCCCCUCCUUAUUUAAUCCCCACAAUAAUUCUGUGGGGUAGGUUGGGCUGAGAGGUCCAAGGUCACCCAGUGAGCUUCAUGGCUGAGCAGGGAUUCGAACCCUGGUGUGGCGUUUGCCUCCUAGGUGGGUCAUAAGGAAAGGGUUAAAUGAGUGUGAUGUGAUUGGCCAGAGAGAAACUGAUAGGAGGAGUUAGGGUUAGAGUCGGAAUUGUGUGGAAGUCAGUUGCGAGUUGUUGGGAGUUGGAGAAGGAAGAGGGAGGAUACGUCUGUGGGUUGGUUGGUUGAGUUGUGUUGUGAGAGAGUGAGAGGAACUGUUAGGUGGAGUCAGAUAGUUGGGAUAAUCAGUUUGAAGUUGUUAGGGACGAAUAGGUCAGUAAAGAAACUAAGAUUAAGAAACUGACAAGAAAAAUUAACUGAAACCUUAAACUUGUUCAUGCUUCUAAAAAUAAACUUGAUUAUUUGUUAAUGUUAACAACUGACUGGACUCCGUGUGUACCCGAGGGAAACGGGUUGGUGGCAGCAAAGAGGCAAUCCCAGUGGUGGCAUAGGGAUCAAUAGACUGUCAAACGUCCGGGGACCCUGUGUGAUCGCCACACCUGGUCCCCCAGCUCCCAGUCCAACACUCCAACCCGUACGGAUCUCACAGAGCUCUUCAGUACUCCAUAAGCAGCAUUUUAGACAGCCGCAGGUUGAGAGACCUGUCCGGGCUUACUAAAGGACACAAACCACCGCCAGAAAUAAAGGCCGGUGUGAAGCUGCAGUUUUAAUAAUAAUAAUAAUAAUAAUAAUGUGCAAGCAGGAAUACACACCACUCAGUCACCUCUUAAUUAUGUUAAGGGAAGAAGGAGACUUCUUCCCCCUUCCCACCGCCACUGAGGGAUUAUGGGAGAAAGUCAAUCCCUCUUACUUCAGCCACAUAAAUCCCCUGUAUCUAUUUGUCUGCAAUUUGGCAGGCUUAAUCCACUCUGCACUUGUAAAUUUCAUCCACGUUUGCCAAAGGGAGGCAGCCAUAGCUGUUUUUAGAUUCCACGUUAUAGUGAACUAGCAGAAAGUACUAGGCAUUGCUCGGUAAUUCUGCUUAAAAAACGGAAAAACCCUGAGAUUUAUAAAUGGGUAAUGCAAAGUUUCCUGCCAAAUUUUGUCAACACCAGCACAGUUUUAAAAGAUUCUGUCUGAUUCAAAAUGGCCUCUGGUGUUAUCCAAACAAAGACCAAAAUCCUCUCCUUGAUAUCACAAACCAUCAUGUCAAAUUGGGAGAUUUUUUGGGAGAAAUUGGGAUGGUCAGAGGUGCUCUAAUCAGCACAGUUUAAAAUGGUUUAGUCUGCCAUCUGGAUUCAAAAUGGCAUCUACCGCAUUCAAACAUAGACAAAGCCCUGCUCCUCUAUCUCAGGAACUAGCAAGCCUAACUGAGUGAUGAUGUGUGUCAAUGCAUAAAGAAUAGCUGACAGACAGACAAGCAGACAACUUUCCAGGGUUCUGUCUAUGUUUGUGAAAUAUACUUGGAGUCGAGUGUGGAUUUCAUGCUCUUUAUUCAGCUCAUAGUAGUGAGGAAUGCCAGUUCCCCCAAAAUGUCUGUUUUAUAUACAUUAUUUACACAAUGGGCCCCACAUGAUUGGCUAAUUCCGGGAUUCUCCUGUAGGCCAAUCAGGUUGCAGAUUCACUUCCACCUGGAGUUGGAUUGGGUGGCUCCUGCAGACCAAUCAGAAUGCUGCAUUCUGAAUCCUAUUGUUCUAGGACCAAUCAGACGGCUGCGUUCUGAAUCCUAUUGUUCUAGGACCAAUCAGACUGCUGCAUUCUGAAUCCUAUUGUUCUAGGACCAAUCAGACUGCUGCAUUCUGAAUCCUAUUGUUCUAGGACCAAUCAGACUGCUGCAUUUUGGAUCCUAUUCAACUCUGUGUAUAACAGUUUGGAUACCACUGGAUACCAUUUUGAAUCAAGAUGGUGGACUACAUUGUUCCCAGCAUGCAUUUGGAUAUCAUCGCCCAAUUCUACAUGAAAAUUCCCUAGAUCAAGGAGCAGGCUUUUUCUCCACAUGAGCUACCAUGGGACACCAUUUUGAAUCAAGAGAGUAGAUGGAAUCUUCCUCAAUUGCACCAGUUCUUUGGUUUCUGAGAAUUCCUGAGCAAUGCUGAGUACAAGGCUGCUAGUCUCCCAUUAUGUAUAUGCAUUCAGGCCCUGAAUUUCUCAUGGAAGAGAUGAAGAACUGUUUGGGUACACAGCUUGCGAUUCAGCAAAGGUAAAAGCAACCCAUGUGGGCUGGUAGCCUGCUAAGCACUUGACAGCUGCCCCUCUUCCAAGGCCCUAUGCAGAAAAAUCAGGAGGUUUACUUGGGAUUCAAAUACACUGUUUUGAAUGCGUUAUAAACAUGCAACACCAGAUGGCACCAGAGAGUAAAAUAAAAAAUUCUAUGGGAUUUUCUGUAGCAUUUUUUCUUCUUUUGUUAUAGCAAUUUAAUUUCUGACUUAUAUUGGUUUUUUCCUGGGUGUAGACUCACCCAAGGAUAGCUGAUGGGUUUCAUUUAUCUUAAUAGUUGUCUUAAUUGUAGAUUUAAUGUACCAUAUAUAACCCAAAGUCCAGUACUUUUCUGGGAAAACCCAGCCAGAUGGGUGGGGUAUAAAUAAAUUAUUAUUGAUAUUGAUAUUGAUAUUGAUAUUUUCUGGUCAUGUGUUGUUGUUUAUUAAUUUGUAUUCCGCUCUUCAUCCAAAUAUCACAUGGCAGUUCACAACAUAAAUGGAGCAGCUCUUUCUCUCUGGAGAGUGAGAAAAAGCAGUUUAGAUUCAAAGCACUUUGAAUCCAAACUGCUUCCUCUGCAGGCUCCUGUAACCGUCUAGCAGCUGAUCAGCAGUUACAGCAAAUCUUUUUUUAUUGGUGCUGCAAGACUGUCUUCCGAAGAGGUUUGCUGCAGGCAUCUGACUGGCACUUAGUCACCUCCUUUGACCUUUCACUGGUGUCAGUCACCUGGUUUUAUUAUGACAUCAGAUGACUGGCAGGUAGGUACUCCCGUCUACCUGUCAAAGUUGGUCUACGGGGGAGGGGGGGUAAGGAACCCAGCCCAUGGGCUGGAUCCAGGUUGCCACCCCUCUUUUACAAUGUUAAAUGUUUAGUCCAUACCUAAGGAUUUCGGGACGCGGGUGGCGCUGUGGGUUAAACCACAGAGCCUAGGACUUGCCGAUCAGAAGGUCGGUGGUUCGAAUCCCCACAAUGGGGUGAGCUCCCGUUGCUCGGUCCCUGCUCCUGUCAACCUAGCAGUUCGAAAGCAUGUCAAAGUGCAAGUAGAUAAAUAGGUACCACUCCGGCAGCAAGGUAAAUGGUGUUUCCAUGUGCUGCUCUGGUUCUCCAGAAGCAGCUUAGUCAUGCUGGCCACACAACCCGGAAGCUGUACACCGGCUCCCUUGGCCAGUAAAGCGAGAUGAGCGCCGCAACCCCAGAGUGGGUCACAACUGGACCUAAUGGUCAGGGGUCCCUUUACCCUUUACCUUAAGGAUUCCCAGCGCCCGGCUCAGCUGAUACAUGCACCUCAGAGCCCUAUAUGAGUUAUCAGAGCUUAGAGGACACAGCAGUAACCAAGAUUGGAAUUCGCUUUUUUUCCUAGAAAGCUAUAAAUAAUGGUAAAUAGAAACUAUUGCUGCUAUCCUUCCCCCCCGCCUCUCUGUUUUAGUGCAAUUCAGAUCCUUCACUUUAAACGAUGGCAAGGCAGAUUUGCUCCAAAUCAGUUUGUUUAUGAAAGCAAGCUUUAAAUAAAUUGCUGGUAAUGAAACAAAGAGGGGGAGGCAAGAAAACAGGGUGGUUUUUUUCUCCUGCGCUUAUGGUUGUUGCUAAGGGGUGGGGUUUUUUUGUUUUGUUUGUUAGAUCUUUCUCUGAAAGCUGCCAUUCCUCCCAGUAAAAAAAGAAAACUCAUUUCCCUAUCCAUUUGUGCAAGCCAUAAUUUCCUGCUGCUCUCGCUGCAAACACAUAAUGGGAAUUGCAAAGGGAGAAACCCAUCUUGGAACUGCAAGAGAGAGAGAUCAGCAAAGCCUUAUUGUGCAUUUGCCACCAGGGAAGCAGCGACGGGGAGAGCGGGGUGAGUGUGUGUGUGGAGUGACUUGCCUUCUGAAAUACAUACGAAGGCCUACUGCUGGUGCUACCAUGGUCAAAUCAGUUUCAAUUUAGGAGGGUCAUACCAUUAUCCCCCCCCCCAUCUUGCACAGAUAGGAGCCGGCGGGUAGCUGCAAAACUGUGGAUAGCAGAAGCGGCCGAGUCUGCAGGAAGCCACUUUGCGUUUGGGUUUUGCAGGCUCUUGUCAAGCCACGGCAGUGAUGAAAACCAGCAAUAAUUUAAUAUCACUCAACGCUCGGCUGUGUUAACAGUAAUAUUGCAAGUAAUGCUAUUAAUAUAACGAUGCAUUAGGAACCGCGUCGCUUUCAAAUACGGUUGGCCUCGGAAAAUUGGAAGCAAAAGGCCCAAAAGAACCUUUAACAACGAAUUCUCGGCACUUUGCAAAGCCGCAAAAAACAAGAAUCAUUGUUUGUGUGUGUGUCUUUGCAGGGAACAAAGCCGUGGCAGUUAAGCUGGUGUGAAACGGAGACAAAUUUGUAGUCUUUGGGCCUACUUCUACCACCUAAAAAAACCCUACUAUUCCCAGCUUUGUUCUUCAGCAGAGGUGGGGAAGCUCUGCACAAGCCCAUCUGUUGGGUAGGAUGAAGCACAUGCCUCAGGAGAUGGAAGCAAAAGAGGGAGUGCCCCGCCUACCCUACUCCUGUGGUGUAGUGGUUAAGAGCAGUGGACUCGUAAUCUGGUGAACCGGGUUCGCUUCCCCGCUCCUCCACAUGCAGCUGCUGGGUGACCUUGGACUAUUCACACUUCUCUGAAGUCUCUCAGCCCCACUCACCUCACAGAGUGUUUGUUGUGGGGGGAAAGGGAAAGGAGAUUGUUAGCUGCUUUGAGACUCCUUAAGGGGAGUGGAAGGUGGGAUAUCAAGUCCAAACUCCUCCUCCUCCUCCUCUUUUUCUUCUUCCACUCCCACCGGAACACACACACCCCUUCCAGCAAGAGGGAAGCUUUCCAUUGUGUACCGUAUCUUCACAAUGUAUCUACCGUACAUUGUGUAUCUUCACCACCUCUUGAUAUCGAGAAUCCUUGAUAACUUCAGCAGUGGGGUGUGGUAGUUCGAGCAUUGGACUUUGACCUGGGAGGCCAGGGUUCAAAUCCCCACUCGGCCACAAAGCUCAAUGGGUGGCCUCGGCAGGGCAAUGUCUCUGGGCCGAAACUUACCUCUCAGGAUAGCUGCAAGGAUAAAAAUAUGAGGAGGUGGAAGAGCUGUGUGCGUGUCAAGCUUCAGGGAAUCGGCUCCCCCCCCCCUCGCCGCCGCCCUCCGGUGGUAGUAGAUAAGCAGAACAAAGGAAAAGGAGUCUUCUUACCAGUUAGGAACUUUAAUAAUCACAGCAAGAGAACAAAGAAUCCAUUUCCUAGAAAUGGCGGUGCUCCCAAUUAAGUUCGCUUCCCCCUCCGUACCCAGGGCCAUCAUUACCCAGGGGUGCAAGGGGUGUGGGGCACCCAGGCGCCGAAUUCUGGGGGGGGGGCGCUGGGCACCCACUGCUAAAGCCACCUAAGCACAUUGUAUUGAGCUGCUAUGUGGCAGCAGGGUCAAUAGCAUCUUUGACACAACUGAUCUCGCGCCGCCUGCCUGCCGGGAGGAGGGGGAGUGACAGGAAAGAGGGAGAGACAGACAGAAAGAGAAUGCACCUAUCUAGUGACGGGAGCACGAACAGGCUCCGGAAGAAGAAUUCCCAGCUCCUGUAGAAAUAAGGUUGCUCCCACAAUGAAAGGCUGCCCAAUAUGGCUCUCCCACGCAUGCACACAAUGCCCUCCUGUCUCAUCUUUCAGACACCUCCCUAUGACCAUAAGCACAUGCGUGGAGUCUUUACACCGACUCCCAAUGUGUUCUUUGUCUUCUUUAGAAAAGCUGGUUUUAAACAAACAAAACAACUCCUUUUGGAGCCACGCAGGCAUGAGCGCUAUUUGUUGUUGUUGUUUGGUCGUUUAGUCAUGUCUGACUCUUCGUGACCCCAUGGACCAGAGCACGCAAGGCACUCCUGUCUUCCACUGCCUCACGCAGUUUGGUCAAACUCAUGCUGGUAGCUUCAAGAACACUUUUCCAACCCUUUCAUCCUCUGUCGUCCCCUUCUCCUUGCGCCCUCCAUCUUUCCCAACAUCAGGGUCUUUUCCAGGGAGUCUUCUCUUCUCAUGAGGUGGCCAAAGGGAUAAUAGUGACAUAAGCAUAAUAAAACUAAAUUUGGGCAGAUCUUUGCACCCCAGCGGCUCAUAUGCUAAAGAUGGCCCUAUCCGUACCUAUUAAUCUACCUCACUCCUACAUCUUCUAAUCCGAGCUUGUAGCCUCUGUGUUUUCUGUUCUGCAACUUUCUGAGCUCUCCGGGACUUUGGGGAAGGGGGGUGGAUGCUAUCCAGAGACUGUGAAUCUAUUAACUCUCUCUCUCUUCCAGUGUUUCUUCUCCUAGCUGUUCCCCAUCCAUCCAGUAUUUCCCAGCUUCUGCCUUCUGAACUGUGCCCCUCUGCAAACCACUGUUCCAAAUCUAUACUGUCCUCCUGCUCCUGGGAAGAUUCAGGAUCAGGGGGAGGGGGUGGCUCCCACCAUUCCUCCUCAUUUCAGCCCUCCUCACCACAGUCCCUGACAGUAUACCACCUUGAGGAGGAGGAGGAGUUUGGAUUUCAUAUCCUGCUUUAUCACUACCCGAAGGAGUCUCAAAGCGGCUAACAUUCUCCUUUCCCUUCCUCCCCCACAACAAACACUCUGUGAAGUGAGUGGGGCUGAGAGACUUUAAGAAGUGUGACUGGCCCAAGGUCACCCAGCAGCUGCAUGUCGAGGAGCGGGGACGUGAACCCGGUUCACCAGAUUAUGAGUCUACCACUCUUAACCACUACACCACACUGGCUCUCAAAUCCCAGAGCUCCUUUGGAGGAAAGGUAGGGUGAAAACAUUGAAUAAAUGAAUGAAUAAGAGUUGCAGCCACAGACCGCUAGAGGGCAUCACAUUACCAAUUCACUGGAUGCAGUGCGGCUUUGUUCAAAGUUAGCCUUUGCAGGGCCGUGCUGCUUUUUGUUUGCAAGAACAGUGACCAGAUUCAUGCUUUGCAAUGACCACGUUCAUCACUUAUUGGCCUUUUAGCUAGGAUCAAGUGUAGGACCACAUUUAUGUUUUGCAAGGGAAAUCAGCGCUGGAAGAACAGCCGGUGUGUUUGUGCGUGUUUGUGUGUGAAUGCAAAGGACCAUCGCUCCCACCUUGCUGUCAAUAAUCCACACCAGAACUACAUAAUCACGGCAUUUAAUUAAACAACAGAGGGAAAAGGCCCAUGUAUUAAUAAUGCAGCCCAGCACUUCAGCAUGUCGGGCUAAAUAUUAUUUUCAAAUUCGUAAUGGAACACCUCGGCAUUUGCAAGAAAACAAAAUGUUAUUAGGAGCUUAACAAAGUCCUUUCUUCGCUCAGAGUUCUUGCAUCCCAGGAGCGAGAAGAUGAAAGGGUAUCCGCGGGUGAGGGCAGUGGAUAGGAAGGAUGGAUUUUCAACCCCAUUUUCCUUAGGUGAACAACCAGGGAGGUAAAGUGCCAGAUUACCAAACAGGCAGAGUAAGCACCAUCCUAUGGGCCUCAUGCCUUGGGGGGGGGGCAAGGGGACGCGGGUGGCACUGUGGUGUAAACCACAGAGCCUAGGGCUUGCCGAUCAGAAGGUCAGUGGUUCAAAUCCCCGUGACGGGGUGAGCUUCUGUUGUUCGGUCCCUGCUCCUGCCAACCUAGCAGUUCGAAAGAACGUCAAAGUGCAAGUAGAUAAAUAGGUACCGCUCCAGCGGGAAGGUAAACGGCAUUUCUGUGCGCUGCUCUGGUUUGCCCAAAGCUGCUUAGUCUUGCUGGCCACAUGACCCGAAAGCUGUCUGUGGACAAAUACCGGCUCCCUCGGCCUAUAGAGCGAAAUGAGCACGCAACCCCAGAGUCGUCCGCGACUGGACCUAAUGGUCAGGGGGUACCUUUACCUUUACCUUUAUGGGCCUCACACCUUUUAGGGGGGGCCCAGUGACAAGGGAUCAAAAUAAUAUUAAUUUGAUCUUAAAAGAAAAUUACAGUCAAGUAUUGGGAGAUGUUAGGUGUUGAGCGUUAUUGUAUAUUCCUGUUAUUGUCUCUUUCUGUUGUCUUUCUUUCUGUUAUUGUUAUCUUUCUGUCUCGACAGACAACGCCUCCAGGGGUGAAGUCAACCCGAGUUGUUUUUGCUAUGUUAUCAGCACCAACGUGAACUCUUCAGGAAAAUGCUAUUCCUCUCAUGGAGCUACAAUUCCCAGGGUGCUUAAUCAAUCAUUCCCUCUUCUGAGGGAUCUCUGGGAAUGUCUUAUAAGCUGCCGUAGGUGUUUGAGCUGGAAGACCGGAUAAAAAUAAAGGUAUA
Non-coding RNA from Podarcis lilfordi (Lilford's wall lizard), 13072 nucleotides. The record is from the annotation of a GenBank genome assembly. Lineage: Eukaryota; Metazoa; Chordata; Lepidosauria; Squamata; Lacertidae.